AUGGAAAGGCCAGGAUCAACAUCUCACAACGGCAACUUGUCAACAGUGCUCUUCCCAACUCUGAUCAAUGACGCAGCAUUGGCACACAUUUAUCUAUAUGGUGGUUUAGGCGCUAAGCUGUGUCCCACUCUAGCGAUUGUAUGGACUAUAGCCUGCCAGGCUCCUCUGUCCAUGGGAUUCUCCAGAACCUAUAGAGGCAAGGCACUGAACCUAAAGAAGACGACAAUGAGGGGAUGCGGGAGUCCAAGAGCUGCCUCAUCACAUAGAACUGAAUCCUAUUCAGAUAUCGGCAACCAACUCUGGAGACCCCUGUCCUUCAGACCUAGGCCUCAAGGCAGAAAUUAUCCGUAAAUGGAGAGGAAAGCUGUUUAAACUGAAGACAACUAGAGGUCCUAUAGCAACAAAUAUUUGUCAAAGAACAUUCCUAAUGACCAUAUCCCUUCUUUAAUAUGUCAUCUUGAGCUGGGGAAGAACGUCUCAAACCCGAAGCUGAGUUACCUCUCACUGGAAGUUCCUCUGGCACUAAGCCAAAACAAGAACUGCUUCAUGGACUGGGUCCUGAGUCUCUGUAAAUACUACCUCCUUCAGCUAGAGGUAUUUCAGGCAGCCUCAUGGCUCCCAGGUAUAGUUACAGACUGUUAAAGUUCUUUUUUAAAUUAAAAAAAAUUAUCCACAUGGAUUUUCUUUCAUUUUUUCAGGUUCUUAAGGUUGUUUUCAUCAUAAUUACUGAGACGUUCAGAGAACACUUCAACUACUGAUACAGCCUAGUAGGUAAGAGGUCUCAGCAGGCUACAGAUAUGCAGACCAAAACAAAGAAAAGUCAGGUGAGCUUGUGCAAAGAUUCAAUGAGUGAAGUAAAGGCAACAGCUUUCAAUAUGUAUUCAUCCAAUAAACAUUUACUGAAAACACUUUGGUCAAUAAAUGCAUUUUACUAGUGAGUAGCAGUACAAAGAUGAGGAAACCACUGUUCCCCCAUCGCAUGCUGACUCUGGUAGGGGAAAUCGACUUGUCAGGGAAUCACUGUAACACAUGGA
RNAcentral lists this long non-coding RNA (1034 nucleotides) under Capra hircus (goat). Its description in RNAcentral is "lncRNA (ENSCHIG00000000867.1)". The record is from RNAcentral. Lineage: Eukaryota; Metazoa; Chordata; Mammalia; Artiodactyla; Bovidae.